This 440-nucleotide ribosomal RNA is filed under the name uncultured bacterium. Its description in RNAcentral is "bacterial SSU rRNA". It matches the Rfam family "Bacterial small subunit ribosomal RNA", at positions 338 to 795 of the family's 1533-position model. The record is from RNAcentral.
CCUACGGGCUGCAGCAGUGGGGAAUAUUGGACAAUGGGCGCAAGCCUGAUCCAGCAAUGCCGCGUGAGUGAUGAAGGCCUUCGGGUUGUAAAGCUCUUUCGCACGCGACGAUGAUGACGGUAGCGUGAGAAGAAGCCCCGGCUAACUUCGUGCCAGCAGCCGCGGUAAUACGAAGGGGGCUAGCGUUAUUCGGAAUUACUGGGCGUAAAGGGCGCGUAGGCGGUGUGUCAAGUCAGGCGUGAAAGCCCCGGGCUCAACCUGGGAACCGCGCUUGAGACUGGCACGCUAGAGUUCGGGAGAGGAUGGUGGAAUUCCCAGUGUAGAGGUGAAAUUCGUAGAUAUUGGGAAGAGCACCGAUGGCGAAGGCAGCCAUCUGGACCGACACUGACGCUGAGGCGCGAAAGCGUGGGGAGCAAACAGGAUUAGAUACCCUCGUAGUC